UUUUUUUUUUAAUGCGGUCACACACCAAGGAGGGCAGCGGGGGAGAAAAUUCCCCUUCUGGCGGGGGGGAGGCGGGAAAAAAAAAUAACAUUCCGGAGGUCUUUUUUUUUUUGUUAAUAGAAAGAGUACCAAUUAAAUUCCAUUAAGGAGGUUUUUUGGGAGGGAAAGUGGGUUGCCAGCAGCGGUGUUAAUUCUUCCUCGAGGGUUUAUAUAUGUGGUUGCGGCAGUGAAAAAGUUGGUAGUGGGGGGUGAGUUGUUUGGGGGGGGGGUGGGGUUGGGGUUUGUCUCCCCACCCGAAAAAAUCACACUUGUGUGGUGCCCCCCCCCCUUCUACUUUUUUUUGUUCAAGAAGGGGGGGGUUUCUCCCCUCCACCAUUGGAAGUUGUUAUUUGGAAAAAUUAGGAGUGUUAAAAGCAGACGAAAAUCUUUCGUCUUGAAAGUUGUAGCAUGGAAUAACGUGAUAGGACUCCGGUGGCCCUUUUCAGUUGGUAUAAGCCGUUCCGGAGUAAUGAAUAAGAGGGACAGUCGGGGGCACUAGUACUUCCUUGUCAGAGGUGAAAUUCUUGGAUUUAGGAAAGACGAACCACUGCGAAAGCAUUUGCCAAGGAUGUUUUCAUUAAUCAAGAAAGAAAGUUGGGGGGUAGAAGAUGAUCAGAGACCGUUGUAGUCUUAUUGACUGUAAACGAUGCCGACUGGGGAUGGGGGGAAAGAUUUUUGGCUUAUGGGAGGGAAUUUCAACAACCUACCCCAUCGCCCUCCCAGGCACCUCCGCACUCGCUAUGCUA
Molecule: ribosomal RNA, 785 nt
Filed under: Prototheca wickerhamii
Lineage: Eukaryota; Viridiplantae; Chlorophyta; Trebouxiophyceae; Chlorellales; Chlorellaceae
Description: partial 18S ribosomal RNA
Rfam family: Eukaryotic small subunit ribosomal RNA
Source: RNAcentral